RNAcentral lists this non-coding RNA (26 nucleotides) under Mus musculus (house mouse). Lineage: Eukaryota; Metazoa; Chordata; Mammalia; Rodentia; Muridae. The record is from RNAcentral.
UGGCACCUUGUGACUGGAGCUGGGAC